CCCUUAGAUGUUCUGGGCUGCACACGCGCUACACUGAAGGGAUCAGCGUGAUCUUUUCCUGGUCCGAAAGGAUCGGGUAACCCGCUGAACCCCCUUCGUGGUAGGGAUCGGAGCUUGCAAUUAUUCUCCGUGAACCAGGAAUUCCCAGUAAGCGCAAGUCAUAAGCUUGCGUUGAUUACGUCCCUGCCCUUUGUACACACCGCCCGUCGCUACUACCGAUUGGACGUUUUAGUGAGGAUUUUGGACUGAGCCAAUGGUGGUUCACACCACUGUUGUGCAUGGAAAGAUCUCCAAACUUGAGCGUUUAGAGGAAGUAAAAGUCGUAACA
RNAcentral lists this ribosomal RNA (328 nucleotides) under uncultured eukaryote. Its description in RNAcentral is "partial 18S ribosomal RNA". It matches the Rfam family "Eukaryotic small subunit ribosomal RNA", at positions 1470 to 1796 of the family's 1831-position model. The record is from RNAcentral.